AACGAACGCUGGCGGCAUGCCUAACACAUGCAAGUCGAACGAGACCUUCGGGUCUAGUGGCGCACGGGUGCGUAACGCGUGGGAACCUGCCCUUAGGUUCGGAAUAACUCCCCGAAAGGGGUGCUAAUACCGGAUAAUGUCUUCGGACCAAAGAUUUAUCGCCUUUGGAUGGGCCCGCGUUGGAUUAGCUAGUUGGUAGGGUAAAAGCCUACCAAGGCGACGAUCCAUAGCUGGUCUGAGAGGAUGAUCAGCCACACUGGGACUGAGACACGGCCCAGACUCCUACGGGAGGCAGCAGUGGGGAAUAUUGGACAAGGGGAGAAAGCCUGAUCCAGCAAUGCCGCGUGAGUGAUGAAGGCAUUAGGGUUGUAAAGCUCUUUUACCCGGGAUGAUGACAGUACCGGGAGAAUAAGCUCCGGCUAACUCCGUG
This 430-nucleotide ribosomal RNA is filed under the name uncultured bacterium. Its description in RNAcentral is "partial 16S ribosomal RNA". It matches the Rfam family "Bacterial small subunit ribosomal RNA", at positions 29 to 507 of the family's 1533-position model. The record is from RNAcentral.